Danio rerio (zebrafish) is the source of this 709-nucleotide non-coding RNA. The record is from RefSeq and is a predicted model, not a curated record. NCBI's taxonomy places the organism in Eukaryota, Metazoa, Chordata, Actinopteri, Cypriniformes, Danionidae.
UAGCCAACUCUUGACAGCCUCUUUCGCUUACGGCCAUACCACCCUGGACACGCCCUCUAGUGUGAGUUAGAGUUGUUGCACUGCAGGAAGUGUGAGGUGGCAGAAGGAAGAGAGAGGCUCUUCCAUUUUGGCAGUUUUGUUUUUUGUUUUUAGUUUUUGUAUUACAAAGUUUACUUUAAUUGUUUUUUUAGUUAAAGAUUAAUUUUAACUAACCCCAAACAGUAACACUGUUUUGGGGUUAGUAAACAACAAAAUGGACACUACGGAGAAAGAGAAUGAACAGGACACAAAUGGAAAAAGGAACAGAGAACAAGGAAAUGCUACUAACAUGCUUGAAAGGACUCGAAAUGAAGAUGCCGGAGAAAACAGCAAUGAGACAUGGGCAACAGUUGUCUCAAAGAAAAAAAAAGGAAUAGGAGGUGGUCAAGAAAAGAAAGAGGAUCUACAAUCAAUUGCAAGUAUUGAAAGUGUAAAGAAUACUGAAGGACAAAGGAAUGCUUUAAGUCAAAAACAACAAAUGCUGAACAAACUAAAGAAGCAAGCAAGAUAUCAAAGAGAGUACAAGAAGGAAGCCAAACUAACAAUGAUGAUUGUACGCAAGCAAAAGAUGGCCAGAUUGAGACUUGUGAACUUCACCACUGGCUCCCUCCUUUAAAAUGUUACUCUGCUGAAGUACAUGUGAAUAAAAAAAUAUUUUCAAGACAGCAAA